AUUCGCCAAAAUGACAAACACAAAGGGAAAGAGGAGCGGCACCCCAUACAUGUUCUCUAGGCCUUUUAGAAAACAUGGAGUUGUUCCUUUGGCCACAUACCUGUGAAUCUAUAAGAGACGUGAUAUUGGAGAUUUCAAGGGAAUGGGUACUGUUCAAAAAGGAAUGCCCCACCAGUGUUACCAUGGCAAAACUGGAAGAGUCUACAAAGUUCCCCAGCGUGCUGUUGGCAUUGUUGUAAACAAGUUAAGGGCAAGAUUCUUGCCAAGAGAAUUAAUGUGCAUAUUGAGCACAUUAAGCACUCUAAUAGGCGAGAUACCUUCCUGAAACGCAUGAAGGAAAAUGAUCAGAAAAAGAAAAAAGCCAAAGAGAAAAGUACCUGGGUUCAACUGAAGCACCAGCCUGCUCCACCCAGAGAAGCACACUUUGUGAGAGCCAAUGGGAAGGAACCUGAGCUGCUGGAACCUCUUCCCUAUGAACACAUGGCAUCAGAGGUGUUAACAAAAU
This 505-nucleotide long non-coding RNA is filed under the name Homo sapiens (human). RNAcentral describes it as "non-protein coding lnc-COMMD8-1:1". The record is from RNAcentral. Lineage: Eukaryota; Metazoa; Chordata; Mammalia; Primates; Hominidae.